AUGUUUGGCGCCAAACUAGGGCACGUCCUGGAGAUGGUUGCGUGCGCCGAAGGUAUAGGUGUGCCCCGUAGCUCUGGAAUGUUCGGGCACGCCCUGCAUGCCGUCUCAUGCUUUAGCGAGGAGAAGAUCACUGCUAAAGUGGACUAUUUGAAGAAGACGUUUAGGUGGUCGGAUGCCGAGGUUGGCAUUGCUGUGUCCAAGGGUCCGUUUAUGCUGGCGAGGUCAAAGGACAUGCUGAAGCGCAGGUCCGACUUCCUUAUCUCUGAGGUUGGGUUGGAACCGGCCUACAUUGCUCAUCGGCCGGCUAUGCUCACCUACAGCCUGGAGGGCCGGCUCAGGCCCCGCUACUAUGUUGUGAAAUUUCUCAAGGAAAAUGGAUUGCUAGAGCACGGGCGGAGCUACUAUACAACACUGGUUGAGACUGAGAAGGUUUUCAUGAAAAAGUUCAUCUGCCCCCACAAGGAAGCCGCACCACACCUCGCUGAAGACUAUGUGGCUGCUUGCAAAGGGGAAGUGCCGGCUAGAUUCAGAUUUACGUGA
Molecule: ribosomal RNA, 540 nt
Filed under: Triticum aestivum (bread wheat)
Lineage: Eukaryota; Viridiplantae; Streptophyta; Magnoliopsida; Poales; Poaceae
Description: partial small subunit ribosomal RNA
Source: RNAcentral